UGCAAGUCGAACGGUAGCACAGAGAGCUUGCUCUCGGGCGACGAGUGGCGGACGGGUGAGUAAUGUCUGGGAAACUGCCCGAUGGAGGGGGAUAACUACUGGAAACGGUAGCUAAUACCGCAUAAUGUCGCAAGACCAAAGAGGGGGACCUUCGGGCCUCUUGCCAUCGGAUGUGCCCAGAUGGGAUUAGCUUGUAGGUGAGGUAACGGCUCACCUAGGCGACGAUCCCUAGCUGGUCUGAGAGGAUGACCAGCCACACUGGAACUGAGACACGGUCCAGACUCCUACGGGAGGCAGCAGUGGGGAAUAUUGCACAAUGGGCGCAAGCCUGAUGCAGCCAUGCCGCGUGUAUGAAGAAGGCCUUCGGGUUGUAAAGUACUUUCAGCGGGGAGGAAGGGAGUGAGGUUAAUAACCUCAUUCAUUGACGUUACCCGCAGAAGAAGCACCGGCUAACUCCGUGCCAGCAGCCGCGGUAAUACGGAGGGUGCAAGCGUUAAUCGGAAUUACUGGGCGUAAAGCGCACGCAGGCGGUCUGUCAAGUCGGAUGUGAAAUCCCCGGGCUCAACCUGGGAACUGCAUUCGAAACUGGCAGGCUGGAGUCUUGUAGAGGGGGGUAGAAUUCCAGGUGUAGCGGUGAAAUGCGUAGAGAUCUGGAGGAAUACCGGUGGCGAAGGCGGC
RNAcentral lists this ribosomal RNA (678 nucleotides) under uncultured Enterobacterales bacterium. RNAcentral's name for it is "bacterial SSU rRNA". It matches the Rfam family "Bacterial small subunit ribosomal RNA", at positions 56 to 725 of the family's 1533-position model. The record is from RNAcentral. Lineage: Bacteria; Pseudomonadati; Pseudomonadota; Gammaproteobacteria; Enterobacterales.